GGGAGGAGUACUGGGUGCACAUACACAAACUCGGAAUAUACCACCUCAUCGCUCUUAGUAAGAGUCCAGAUACUUGUACCUAAGAUCCUGGUAUACGAGUUAUUGCUUAAGGACUCGCCGUUCAAGCCAAAGACCAGUGUUUGAUCCAGAAAGAACCAGCUAGGUGCUGGGGUGAUCGCCUUCCUUCACAAACGUGGGAGUGACUGAGGCAUACAAGGCUCUGGCUUUUCUGUCAUAUAUCAUCACCGCAGAGAUGUACUUGACCACAGAUGAUGGUUAAUAACGACAGCCAAGUGGCAGGCACUCUUUUGCCUGUAUCAUCUCAAUUACUGUCAUCACUGAAAGAGACGUGUCUUGAAAGAAGUUGCUGUGGCCGAUGUCGAAGAGGUUACUGCCUAUGUUCUC
Molecule: long non-coding RNA, 405 nt
Organism: Zalophus californianus (California sea lion)
Lineage: Eukaryota; Metazoa; Chordata; Mammalia; Carnivora; Otariidae
Exons: 3
Source: RefSeq, a predicted model, not a curated record